UGGCAAUGAGGACAAAAAUAUUAACUGAAUUACUGUGAUUAGUUUAUACGCUAUUCUGAGCCAACA
Molecule: small nucleolar RNA, 66 nt
Organism: Sceloporus undulatus (fence lizard)
Lineage: Eukaryota; Metazoa; Chordata; Lepidosauria; Squamata; Phrynosomatidae
Product: small nucleolar RNA U54
Exons: 1
Source: RefSeq, a predicted model, not a curated record